GAAAUGCGAUAAGUAGUGUGAAUUGCAGAAUUCAGUGAAUCAUCGAAUCUUUGAACGCACAUUGCGCCCUUUGGUAUUCCUUAGGGCAUGCCUGUUCGAGCGUCAUCUAAACCUUCAAGCCCUGCUUGGUGUUGGGUGCCUGUCCCGCCUCCGCGCGUGGACUCACCUCAAAUCCAUUGGCGGCCCCCGCGUCGGCCACGAGCGCAGCAGAAACGCGAACUCGUGAGCCCGCCCGGGCGGCUCCCAGAAGCUAACCCCCAAUUUUUGACCUCGGAUCAGGUAGGGAUACCCGCUGAACUUAA
This 302-nucleotide unclassified non-coding RNA is filed under the name uncultured Preussia. RNAcentral describes it as "sequence contains ITS1". The stretch from base 1 to 105 matches the Rfam family "5.8S ribosomal RNA", at positions 50 to 154 of the family's 154-position model. The record is from RNAcentral. Lineage: Eukaryota; Fungi; Ascomycota; Dothideomycetes; Pleosporales; Sporormiaceae.